This 253-nucleotide ribosomal RNA is filed under the name uncultured bacterium. Its description in RNAcentral is "partial 16S ribosomal RNA". It matches the Rfam family "Bacterial small subunit ribosomal RNA", at positions 524 to 776 of the family's 1533-position model. The record is from RNAcentral.
UACGGGGGGGGCAAGCGUUGUUCGGAAUUACUGGGCGUAAAGGGCGUGAAGGCGGCCAACUAAGUCGGAUGUGAAAUCCCCAGGCUCAACCUGGGAACUGCAUCCGAUACUGGAUGGCUUGAAUUCGGGAGAGGGAUGCAGAAUUCCAGGUGUAGCGGUGAAAUGCGUAGAUAUCUGGAGGAAUACCGGUGGCGAAGGCGGCAUCCUGGACCGACAUUGACGCUGUAGCGCGAAAGCUAGGGGAGCAAACGGG